AUUGAACGCUGGCGGCAGGCCUAACACAUGCAAGUCGAGCGAGCGGCGGACGGGUGCGUACUGUAUGGGGACUGCCCGAUAGAGGGGGAUAACUACUGGAAACGGUAGCUAAUACCGCAUACUAUCGGAUAACCCAUAGGGGAUUAGCUAGUAGGUGAGGUAAUGGCGCACCUAGGCGACGAUCCCUAGCUGGUCUGAGAGGAUGAUCAGCCACACUGGGACUGAGACACGGCCAAGACUCCUACGGAGGCAGCAGUAGGGAAUAUUGCGCAAUGGGCGCAAGCCUGAUGGAGCCAUGCCGCGUGUGUGAAGAAGGCCCUAGGAUUGUAAAGUACUUUCAGUCGGGAGGCGUUACCGACAGAAGAAGCACCGGCUAACUCCGUGCCAGCAGCCGCGGUAAUUC
RNAcentral lists this ribosomal RNA (403 nucleotides) under uncultured bacterium. Its description in RNAcentral is "partial 16S ribosomal RNA". It matches the Rfam family "Bacterial small subunit ribosomal RNA", at positions 30 to 526 of the family's 1533-position model. The record is from RNAcentral.